This 77-nucleotide transfer RNA is filed under the name Dehalococcoidia bacterium. Its description in RNAcentral is "tRNA-Val". It matches the Rfam family "tRNA". From Rfam's summary of the family: Transfer RNA (tRNA) molecules are approximately 80 nucleotides in length. Their secondary structure includes four short double-helical elements and three loops (D, anti-codon, and T loops). Further hydrogen bonds mediate the characteristic L-shaped molecular structure. tRNAs have two regions of fundamental functional importance: the anti-codon, which is responsible for specific mRNA codon recognition, and the 3' end, to which the tRNAs corresponding amino acid is attached (by aminoacyl-tRNA synthetases). tRNAs cope with the degeneracy of the genetic code in two manners: having more than one tRNA (with a specific anti-codon) for a particular amino acid; and 'wobble' base-pairing, i.e. permitting non-standard base-pairing at the 3rd anti-codon position. Lineage: Bacteria; Bacillati; Chloroflexota; Dehalococcoidia. The record is from RNAcentral. RNAcentral also lists the same sequence under 1 other name.
GGGCGGUUAGCUCAGUUGGCUAGAGCGCCUGCUUCACACGCAGGAGGUCACAGGUUCAAGUCCUGUAUCGCCCACCA